This 1340-nucleotide long non-coding RNA is filed under the name Gadus morhua (Atlantic cod). RNAcentral describes it as "lncRNA (ENSGMOG00000031539.1)". Lineage: Eukaryota; Metazoa; Chordata; Actinopteri; Gadiformes; Gadidae. The record is from RNAcentral.
CUGUUUUUUCGCUACUCCUCCCACAUUUCUCGACCAAUCAACACCAAACUUUGCACACGACAUCUUCAGACGCACACGCAAAGAAUGCACGAAACACUCUUUUGAUGCGACCUUUGACGACGAAACGGUAGCGUUUUGAAUAUUGGUAUAUUAGCUAAAUUAGACGUGGAAUAUCAAAAAUCCAAAGAAAUCCAAAAUUAGACAUCGGAUCGAGUCCAAAUUUUACACACAUGUUGGUGCUAACCUUAAUGUCGUACGAUAAAAAUUUCGGAAAAGUUCGCCAUUAGGGGGCGCCAUAAACGAGGAAAUUGUAUAUCUUCUACAAAAUUUAGCCGCGAAAACGCUACACUGACUUCUCGCUACUCCUACCACAGUCAAAUCCUUUGUAUCCACAGGUUCAGGGUAGCGUUUUGAACACAAGCAUCGCGUUGUGCCGGCGAAACGCACAUUUCUUGUCGCGUUGUGCCGGCGAAAUGCACACUUCUUGGACCCCUGCAUAACUGCUUGCAGUUCUAGUUAGGGGUCCAAGCCAACAGGUUGGAUCCCUAUUGUUUUUGUAAGGAUUAUUAGGGGUCCAAGCCAACAGGUUGGAUCCCUAUUGUUUUUGUAAGGAUUUUUAUUAUACUUCCCGCGGUGAAAGUGGAACCACAGCCCAAACCGUAAAUGGUGCACACGCGCCAAUUGCAUGACUAGAUCCAGAAUCGGCACCGCUACUCAGAUAACAAAAUCCAGACACGCCGGCCACUAGGUGGCGCUAUACCAAGGAAUACGCGUUUGCGGCUAUAACUCCCACACCGAACCUCCCAGAGUCCAAAAACUUGUACACACAGAUGCACUGGAGUCUGCUGAAUCUUUUGGCCUAGGCCACGCCCAUUUGCGUCUAGGAAUAUUUUUCGCUAAAUCGCGAAAACCGAUACUGUUUUUUUUUUUUUUUUUACUCCCACAUUUCUUGACCAAUCGACACCAAACUUUGCACACGACAUCUUCAGACGCACACGAAAAGGAAUCGUAUACACUUUUUUGAUCCGACCUUCGACGACGAAACGGUAGCGUUUUGAAUAUUGGUAUAUUAGCUAAAUUAGACGUGGAAAAUCAAAAAUACAAAAAAAUCCAGAAGUAGACAUCGGAUCGAGUCCUAAUUCUACACACAUGUUGGUGCUACCCUUAAUGUCGUUCGAUAAAAAAAUCGGACAAUCUCGCCAUUAGGGGGCGCCAUAAACGAGGAAAUUGUAUAUCUUCUACAAAAUUUCACUGCGAAAACGCUGCACUGACUUCUCGCUACUCCUACCACAGUCAAAUCCUUUGUAUCCACAGGUUCAGGGUAGCGUUUUGAACACAUG